GGAGCACGAAGGUUAGCUAAUCACGGUCGGACAUCGUGAGGUUAGUGCAAAGGCAUAAGCUAGCUUGACUGCGAGAGUGACGGCUCGAGCAGGUACGAAAGUAGGUCUUAGUGAUCCGGUGGUUCUGAAUGGAAGGGCCAUCGCUCAACGGAUAAAAGGUACUCCGGGGAUAACAGGCUGAUACCGCCCAAGAGUUCAUAUCGACGGCGGUGUUUGGCACCUCGAUGUCGGCUCAUCACAUCCUGGGGCUGAAGUAGGUCCCAAGGGUAUGGCUGUUCGCCAUUUAAAGUGGUACGCGAGCUGGGUUUAGAACGUCGUGAGACAGUUCGGUCCCUAUCUGCCGUGGGCGUUGGAAGAUUGAGAGGGGCUGCUCCUAGUACGAGAGGACCGGAGUGGACGAAUCACUGGUGUUCGGGUUGUCAUGCCAAUGGCAUUGCCCGGUAGCUAAAUUCGGAAGAGAUAACCGCUGAAAGCAUCUAAGCGGGAAACUUGCCUCGAGAUGAGUCUUCCCUGGGGCUUAAAGCCCCCUGAAGGAACGUUAAAGACUAUGACGUUGAUAGGCUGGGUGUGUAAGUGCAGCGAUGUAUUGAGCUAACCAGUACUAAUGAUCCGUGAGGCUUAACCUUACAACACCGAAGGUGUUU
RNAcentral lists this ribosomal RNA (644 nucleotides) under Yersinia pestis. RNAcentral describes it as "bacterial LSU rRNA". It matches the Rfam family "Bacterial large subunit ribosomal RNA", at positions 2305 to 2925 of the family's 2925-position model. Lineage: Bacteria; Pseudomonadati; Pseudomonadota; Gammaproteobacteria; Enterobacterales; Yersiniaceae. The record is from RNAcentral.